This 273-nucleotide ribosomal RNA is filed under the name uncultured bacterium. Its description in RNAcentral is "partial 16S ribosomal RNA". It matches the Rfam family "Bacterial small subunit ribosomal RNA", at positions 524 to 794 of the family's 1533-position model. The record is from RNAcentral.
UACGAAGGGUGCAAGCGUUAAUCGGAAUUAUUGGGCGUAAAGGGCUUGUAGGUGGUUCUUUAAGUUAGAUGUGAAAACCCUGGGCUACAACCCUGGGACGUGCAUUUAAUACUGGAGGGCUAGAGUAUAGUAGAGGAGAGGGGAAUUCCUGGUGUAGCAGUGAAAUGCGUAGAGAUCAGGAGGAAUACCGGUGGCGAAGGCGACUUUCUGGACGAAUACUGACGCUGAGGCGCGAAAGCGUGGGGAGCAAACAGGAUUAGAAACCCCGGUAGU